This 237-nucleotide transfer-messenger RNA is filed under the name Sulfuritalea sp. RNAcentral describes it as "partial transfer-messenger RNA". It matches the Rfam family "transfer-messenger RNA", at positions 127 to 374 of the family's 374-position model. From Rfam's summary of the family: Bacterial tmRNA, also known as 10Sa RNA or SsrA, is named for its dual tRNA and mRNA-like properties. Its role is to liberate the mRNA from a stalled ribosome. Lineage: Bacteria; Pseudomonadati; Pseudomonadota; Betaproteobacteria; Nitrosomonadales; Sterolibacteriaceae. The record is from RNAcentral.
AACCGGCUGGCUUCCGAACUGGCUUUCCCACGGGCCAGGCAGCGCAAGCUGCAUCGGAAUCAUUCAGUGGGAUAAGGCCGUGCAGCGUCGCGAUGCACGGUUCGAAAAUCCAGCGAAUCGCCUGCAACCAGCCUGUCCGUCGGCGUGUUGCGGGUCAAAUCAAAUGACGCGGCUAAGUAUGUAGAACUGUAUGUGGCGCACUUGUGGACGCGGGUUCAAUUCCCGCCGCCUCCACCA